GUUAUAUCAACCCAAAUAACCCAGAAUAGCUCUAUCGCCUUCUACCAAUACUUAUAGGGGGUCAUCCCAUGUGAUGGGCCCACAAAAUCGAUUUUUUUGCUUAAAUUGCUUUCUUAACAUGUCUAGGAUACAGUAGUGAAUUGAUUUUUGAAAAUUCGAAGUCGUUUUAAAGAUACAGCAGGUAGAAGAAAGAGCUGUUCGGAGCGCUGAGUUAGCAGUUGGGGUCGGGGCCUAUUAUGUACCGUCGACUUUAUAUCUGGCCCCCCUUUUAUACAUAUAUACAUUUAUACAAGUUUAGACAAGUUUCUACAGGCUUAUACAGAAAUUUCAAGAGGAACGGGUACUCUAUGGACCAGGCAUCGCCGUAUGAGGAUAAGCCAAUUAGCCGGAAUCGUGGAGGAAGUGCGAGCUCAUUUUUUCGAGGCGGGGAUGUUCAGAACGUUGUAACUCAAGUCCCACACAUUAUUUUUAGCUUAAAAUUUAAAUUUAUACUGUCGAAAUAUAUGUUAAGAAAUGAUAAUAAACUUAAAGCUCUAUC
Diorhabda sublineata is the source of this 538-nucleotide long non-coding RNA. RefSeq lists it as uncharacterized. NCBI's taxonomy places the organism in Eukaryota, Metazoa, Arthropoda, Insecta, Coleoptera, Chrysomelidae. The record is from RefSeq and is a predicted model, not a curated record. The transcript is spliced from 2 exons.